RNAcentral lists this ribosomal RNA (468 nucleotides) under uncultured Rhodoferax sp. RNAcentral describes it as "bacterial SSU rRNA". It matches the Rfam family "Bacterial small subunit ribosomal RNA", at positions 917 to 1381 of the family's 1533-position model. The record is from RNAcentral. Lineage: Bacteria; Pseudomonadati; Pseudomonadota; Betaproteobacteria; Burkholderiales; Comamonadaceae.
ACGGGGCCGCACAAGCGGUGGAUCAUGUGGUUUAAUUCGACGCUACGCGAAGAACCUUACCUGGGCUCGAACGACUAGUUUCGUACCCCUAUGAAAGUGGGGGGACUCGCAAGAGCGCUAGCCGAGGUGCUGCAUGGUUGUCGUCAGCUCGUGUCGUGAGAUGUUGGGUUAAGUCCCGCAACGAGCGCAACCCUUGUCAUUAGUUGCUACAUUCAGUUGGGCACUCUAAUGAGACUGCCGGUGACAAGCCGGAGGAAGGUGGGGAUGACGUCAAGUCCUCAUGGCCCUUAUAGGUGGGGCUACACACGUCAUACAAUGGCUGGUACAAAGGGUUGCCAACCCGCGAGGGGGAGCCAAUCCCAUAAAGCCAGUCGUAGUCCGGAUCGUAGUCUGCAACUCGACUACGUGAAGUCGGAAUCGCUAGUAAUCGUGGAUCAGAAUGUCACGGUGAAUACGUUCCCGGGUCUU